This is a long non-coding RNA of Helianthus annuus (common sunflower), 809 nucleotides long. RefSeq lists it as uncharacterized. NCBI's taxonomy places the organism in Eukaryota, Viridiplantae, Streptophyta, Magnoliopsida, Asterales, Asteraceae. The record is from RefSeq and is a predicted model, not a curated record. The transcript is spliced from 2 exons.
CAUUGACACACACUUCUCUCUCUCUUUCGACACACACUUCUAUCUCUCUUUCUCUCUCUCUGGAUAACCAUUUCUAGAUCUAAGAUCUUCAUAACUAACCACCAAUAUUCUUCUUCUUAUCAAAAUCAUUCAUAAUCAACCACCAAAACUAUAGAUCUACAAGUGUAACAACCUGCCAACCUGGUGAUGGUCGAUGAUCGAUGUUGAAGAUGAUGUGAUGGCGGUUCCAGAUCCGGUUGAAGAUGAUCGAAAUCAUCUUCCAGAUCCGGUUGAAGAUGAUCGAUUUUGAAGAUGAUGUGAUGGCGGUUCGAUUUUGAAGAUGACCCAAAAGAUGAUCGAUGUUUAAACAUGAUGUUCCAGAUCUAGAAGAUCCUCCAGGUCCAUAAUUUCAGAGUUAACUAGGAUCAUACCAGGUCUUUUGAGGAACAUCAACAACCUGCAAGUUGAACUGUUUACCCGUGAGCAAGAAAUUCGGAAGAAGAAGAGGGUUAUAUGGUUACUGAUAUUAGCGUUAGUGAUUGGCAGCUUACUUGUUAGCAUUGUUUGUUGUGAUUGGCAGCUUACUUGUGAUUACUUGUUAGCAUUGUAUGUUAAUGACAUUUUCGGUAGUAUGUACUUGUUGAUGUUUGGUUGAAUAUGAGAAUUUUCUAUGUUAUGAAUUUUUUGGUUUUGUUUUUAACAUGUUACAUUUUUCCCCUGAGAUUUAUGUAGACUUUUGCUGUGUUGAAUCUGAGAAUUUUAUAUGUUAUGGAUUUUUUGGUUUUGUUUUUACCAUGUUACAUUUUAUUUUUGCCUCAGAUUUUUGUACA